AUGAAAGGUUCCUUCCAAUAUGCUUUGAAAUCACUUGAGCCUCUAGAACUGCCCAAGGUUACUCAUCCUCUUGAAAUCCUUGCUGCCCUUGAAAAGAUCCUAGACUUGGCUCAUUCAGACAUGUUGCGAGCAUAUGGUAAACUCAUCCUUAGUGAACGCUUAUUUCAAGCAUUUAUGGAGUUGCCCAUGGAGUUUAGGAAUGAAUGGUUGUUGAUGCUUAAUGAGAAGAACAACGUUUGA
RNAcentral lists this ribosomal RNA (240 nucleotides) under Triticum aestivum (bread wheat). RNAcentral describes it as "partial small subunit ribosomal RNA". Lineage: Eukaryota; Viridiplantae; Streptophyta; Magnoliopsida; Poales; Poaceae. The record is from RNAcentral.